RNAcentral lists this ribosomal RNA (451 nucleotides) under uncultured bacterium. RNAcentral describes it as "bacterial SSU rRNA". It matches the Rfam family "Bacterial small subunit ribosomal RNA", at positions 340 to 786 of the family's 1533-position model. The record is from RNAcentral.
UACGGAAGGCAGCAGUGGGGAAUAUUGCACAAUGGGCGCAAGCCUGAUGCAGCCAUGCCGCGUGUAUGAAGAAGGCCUUCGGGUUGUAAAGUACUUUCAGUCGUGAGGAAGGUGUUAAGGUUAAUAACCUUAGCAAUUGACGUUAGCGACAGAAGAAGCACCGGCUAACUCCGUGCCAGCAGCCGCGGUAAUACGGAGGGUGCGAGCGUUAAUCGGAAUUACUGGGCGUAAAGGGCACGCAGGCGGUUAAUUAAGUUGGAUGUGAAUCCCCGGGCUUAACCUGGGAAUGGCAUUCAAGACUGGUUAGCUAGAGUCUUGUAGAGGGGGUAGAAUUCCAUGUGUAGCGGUGAAAUGCGUAGAGAUGUGGAGGAAUACCGGUGGCGAAGGCGGCCCCUGGACAAAGGCUGACGCUCAUGUGCGAAAGCGUGGGGAGCAAACGAGGAUUAAUACC